This 120-nucleotide small RNA is filed under the name Arabidopsis thaliana (thale cress). RNAcentral describes it as "ATSL264130". Lineage: Eukaryota; Viridiplantae; Streptophyta; Magnoliopsida; Brassicales; Brassicaceae. The record is from RNAcentral.
AGAUCCGCUAGAUCAUCUUGACGAGUUUGAAAGACUCUGUGGCCUUACUAAAAUCAAUGGAGUUAGUGAAGAUGGUUUAAGCUUCGCUUGUUUCCAUUCUCACUUGGAGAUAAAGCCCAU